CCUACGGGCGGCUGCAGUGGGGAAUAUUGGACAAUGGGGGCAACCCUGAUCCAGCCAUGCCGCGUGUGUGAAGAGGCCCUCGGGUUGUAAAGCACUUUCAGUGAGGAAGAACGCCUGGUGGUUAAUACCCAUCAGGAAAGACAUCACUCACAGAAGAAGCACCGGCUAACUCCGUGCCAGCAGCCGCGGUAAUACAGAGGGUGCGAGCGUUAAUCGGAAUUACUGGGCGUAAAGCGCGCGUAGGUGGCUUGAUAAGCCGGUUGUGAAAGCCCCGGGCUCAACCUGGGAACGGCAUCCGGAACUGUCAAGCUAGAGUGCAGGAGAGGAAGGUAGAAUUCCCGGUGUAGCGGUGAAAUGCGUAGAGAUCGGGAGGAAUACCAGUGGCGAAGGCGGCCUUCUGGACUGACACUGACACUGAGGUGCGAAAGCGUGGGUAGCAAACAGGAUUAGAUACCCUUGUAGUC
RNAcentral lists this ribosomal RNA (464 nucleotides) under Vreelandella stevensii. Its description in RNAcentral is "partial 16S ribosomal RNA". It matches the Rfam family "Bacterial small subunit ribosomal RNA", at positions 338 to 795 of the family's 1533-position model. Lineage: Bacteria; Pseudomonadati; Pseudomonadota; Gammaproteobacteria; Oceanospirillales; Halomonadaceae. The record is from RNAcentral.